GUACACGCUGUGACUAGCAUAUCAAUAAGCAGGAGGAAAAGAAACUAACAAGGAUUCCCUCAGUAACGGCGAGUGAAGCGGGAAGAGCUCAAAUUUGAAAUCUUGAAAGGUCACCUUUCACGAAUUGUAGUUUAAAGAAGUGUUUUCUGUUACGAUCGUAAUAUAAGUUCUUUGGAAUAGGACAUCACAGAGGGUGAGAAUCCCGUCUAUGAUUGCGAUUUGUAGCUUUGUGAUACACUUUCAAAGAGUCGGGUUGUUUGGGAAUGCAGCCCAAAACGGGAGGUAAAUUUCUUCUAAGGCUAAAUAUUGGCGAGAGACCGAUAGCGAACAAGUACCGUGAGGGAAAGAUGAAAAGAACUUUGAAAAGAGAGUUAAAUAGUACGUGAAAUUGUCAAAAGGGAAGCGUUUAACACCAGUGUUGUUCUCUGAAAAUCAACCUCUGUUAGCUUUAUGCAUGUUUGUUUAGACCUAAUCAGCUAUCUCUCAUGUUCUAUUGUUUGCAGUGGUGCACUUUUCAGUUUACAGGUCAACAUCAGUUUUUUUUACCGUAAAAAAGUUAAAGAAAGGUAGCUCAUGGCUCCGGUCGUGAGUGUUAUAGUCUUUUUCCUAUGCGGUAGGAGAGACUGAGGUCUGCAGUGUAGGCUAUUUGGCUAGAUACUCAGGUGCUAUGUGAUACCAUUUCAUAAACAACUUGUUGAUUAUGUUUUGUCUAUUGCAUACUCGCUUGUACUAUCAUACCUACGCUUAGGAUGUUGAGUAGCGACAUACGCAC
This 772-nucleotide ribosomal RNA is filed under the name uncultured Neocallimastigales. RNAcentral's name for it is "partial large subunit ribosomal RNA". The stretch from base 4 to 662 matches the Rfam family "Eukaryotic large subunit ribosomal RNA", at positions 24 to 664 of the family's 3401-position model. Lineage: Eukaryota; Fungi; Neocallimastigomycota; Neocallimastigomycetes; Neocallimastigales. The record is from RNAcentral.